This 305-nucleotide ribosomal RNA is filed under the name uncultured bacterium. RNAcentral's name for it is "bacterial SSU rRNA". It matches the Rfam family "Bacterial small subunit ribosomal RNA", at positions 337 to 635 of the family's 1533-position model. The record is from RNAcentral.
UCCUACGGGGGGCAGCAGUAGGGAAUCUUCCACAAUGGGCGAAAGCCUGAUGGAGCAACGCCGCGUGGGUGAAGAAGGUCUUCGGAUCGUAAAACCCUGUUGUUAGAGAAGAAAGUGCGUGAGAGUAACUGUUCACGUUUCGACGGUAUCUAACCAGAAAGCCACGGCUAACUACGUGCCAGCAGCCGCGGUAAUACGUAGGUGGCAAGCGUUAUCCGGAUUUAUUGGGCGUAAAGGGAACGCAGGCGGUCUUUUAAGUCUGAAGUAAAAGCCAUCGGCUCAACCGAUGUAAGCUUUGGAAACUG